This 497-nucleotide ribosomal RNA is filed under the name uncultured bacterium. RNAcentral's name for it is "partial 16S ribosomal RNA". It matches the Rfam family "Bacterial small subunit ribosomal RNA", at positions 28 to 507 of the family's 1533-position model. The record is from RNAcentral.
GAUGAACGCUGGCGGCGUGCCUAAUACAUGCAAGUCGAGCGAACGGACGAGAAGCUUGCUUCUCUGAUGUUAGCGGCGGACGGGUGAGUAACACGUGGAUAACCUACCUAUAAGACUGGGAUAACUUCGGGAAACCGGAGCUAAUACCGGAUAAUAUUUUGAACCGCAUGGUUCAAAAGUGAAAGACGGUCUUGCUGUCACUUAUAGAUGGAUCCGCGCUGCAUUAGCUAGUUGGUAAGGUAACGGCUUACCAAGGCAACGAUGCAUAGCCGACCUGAGAGGGUGGUCGGCCACACUGGAACUGAGACACGGUCCAGACUCCUACGGGAGGCAGCAGUAGGGAAUCUUCCGCAAUGGGCGAAAGCCUGACGGAGCAACGCCGCGUGAGUGAUGAAGGUCUUCGGAGCGUAAAACUCUGUUAUUAGGGAAGAACAUAUGUGUAAGUAACUGUGCACAUCUUGACGGUACCUAAUCAGAAAGCCACGGCUAACUACGUG